UUCAUAUGCUGAAGACUUGAUCUCCAUUGUGACUGUAUUUGGAGAUAGAGCUUUUAAGGAGAUGCCAUGUGAGUGUAUCUCCUGGGGACACAUGGGAGAAGGGCUUUCAUGGGGGAAAGAGAAGUCGGUCUGGGGCCCUAAGAGGAAAUAUUACAGCGCCCCCUUCUAUCCACCAGCUCCAAGACAAAUGUUUUUUAAAAAAGUGGUUAGCUGAACCUACUGUGGUAACUAUUUCAUAAUAUAUGUAAGUCAAACU
Molecule: long non-coding RNA, 256 nt
Organism: Hipposideros armiger (great roundleaf bat)
Lineage: Eukaryota; Metazoa; Chordata; Mammalia; Chiroptera; Hipposideridae
Exons: 3
Source: RefSeq, a predicted model, not a curated record